RNAcentral lists this ribosomal RNA (253 nucleotides) under uncultured bacterium. RNAcentral's name for it is "partial 16S ribosomal RNA". It matches the Rfam family "Bacterial small subunit ribosomal RNA", at positions 524 to 776 of the family's 1533-position model. The record is from RNAcentral.
UACGUAGGUGACAAGCGUUGUCCGGAUUUACUGGGCGUAAAGAGCGCGCAGGCGGUCGAUCAAGUCGAGUGUGAAAGCCCCCGGCUCAACUGGGGAGGGUCAUUCGAUACUGAUCGACUCGAAGGCAGGAGAGGGUAGUGGAAUUCCCGGUGUAGUGGUGAAAUGCGUAGAUACCGGGAGGAACACCAGUGGCGAAGGCGACUACCUGGCCUGUUCUUGACGCUGAGGCGCGAAAGCUAGGGGAGCAAACGGG